Molecule: ribosomal RNA, 253 nt
Filed under: uncultured bacterium
Lineage: Bacteria
Description: partial 16S ribosomal RNA
Rfam family: Bacterial small subunit ribosomal RNA
Source: RNAcentral
UACGAAGGGGGCUAGCGUUGUUCGGAUUUACUGGGCGUAAAGCGCACGUAGGCGGAUCGUUAAGUCGGGGGUGAAAUCCUGGAGCUCAACUCCAGAACUGCCUCUGAUACAGCAAGUCUUGAGUUCGAGAGAGGUGGGUGGAAUUCCUAGUGUAGAGGUGAAAUUCGUAGAUAUUAGGAAGAACACCGGUGGCGAAGGCGGCCCACUGGCUCGAUACUGACGCUGAGGUGCGAAAGCGUGGGGAGCAAACAGG